GCCAGCCCGCUCAGAAACUUAAAGGAAUUGACGGGGGCCCCGCACAAGCGGUGGAGCAUGUGGUUUAAUUCGAUGAUACGCGAGGAACCUUACCUGGGCUCAAAUGUAUGUUGACGUAUUCUGAAAGGGAUACUUCUUCGGACAAUAUACAAGGUGCUGCAUGGUUGUCGUCAGCUCGUGCCGUGAGGUGUCGGGUUAAGUCCCAUAACGAGCGCAACCCCUAUCAUUAGUUGCCAUCAGGUAAUGCUGGGGACUCUAAAGGAACUGCCUACGCAAGUAGUGAGGAAGGCGGGGAUGACGUCAAAUCAGCACGGCCCUUACGUCCAGGGCUACACACGUGCUACAAUGGCCGAUACAGAGGGCAGCUACCUGGUGACAGGAUGCAAAUCUCCAAAGUCGGUCUCAGUUCGGAUCGGAGUCUGCAACCCGACUCCGUGAAGUUGGAUUCGCUAGUAAUCGCGCAUCAGCCAUGGCGCGGUGAAUACGUUCCCGGGCCUU
RNAcentral lists this ribosomal RNA (498 nucleotides) under uncultured Sphingobacteriales bacterium. RNAcentral's name for it is "bacterial SSU rRNA". It matches the Rfam family "Bacterial small subunit ribosomal RNA", at positions 903 to 1382 of the family's 1533-position model. Lineage: Bacteria; Pseudomonadati; Bacteroidota; Sphingobacteriia; Sphingobacteriales. The record is from RNAcentral.